AGUGAACGCUGGCGGUAGGCCUAACACAUGCAAGUCGAACGGCAGCACAGUAAGAGCUUGCUCUUACGGGUGGCGAGUGGCGGACGGGUGAGGAAUACAUCGGAAUCUACUUUUUCGUGGGGGAUAACGUAGGGAAACUUACGCUAAUACCGCAUACGACCUACGGGUGAAAGCAGGGGAUCUUCGGACCUUGCGCGAUUGAAUGAGCCGAUGUCGGAUUAGCUAGUUGGCGGGGUAAAGGCCCACCAAGGCGACGAUCCGUAGCUGGUCUGAGAGGAUGGUCAGCCACACUGGAACUGAGACACGGUCCAGACUCCUACGGGAGGCAGCUGUGGGGAAUAUUGGACAAUGGGCGCAAGCCUGAUCCAGCCAUACCGCGUGGGUGAAGAAGGCCUUCGGGUUGUAAAGCCCUUUUGUUGGGAAAGAAAAGCAGCAGGUUAAUACCCCGCUGUUCUGACGGUACCCAAAGAAUAAGCACCGGCUAACUUCGUG
RNAcentral lists this ribosomal RNA (492 nucleotides) under uncultured bacterium. Its description in RNAcentral is "partial 16S ribosomal RNA". It matches the Rfam family "Bacterial small subunit ribosomal RNA", at positions 29 to 507 of the family's 1533-position model. The record is from RNAcentral.